GAUGAACGCUGGCGGCGUGCCUAAUACAUGCAAGUCGAGCGAACAGAUGAGGAGCUUGCUCCUCUGACGAUAGCGGCGGACGGGUGAGUAACACGUGGAUAACCUACCUAUAAGACUGGGAUAACUUCGGGAAACCGGAGCUAAUACCGGAUAAUAUAUUGAACCGCAUGGUUCAAUAGUGAAAGACGGUUUUGCUGUCACUUAUAGAUGGAUCCGCGCCGCAUUAGCUAGUUGGUAAGGUAACGGCUUACCAAGGCGACGAUGCGUAGCCGACCUGAGAGGGUGAUCGGCCACACUGGAACUGAGACACGGUCCAGACUCCUACGGGAGGCAGCAGUAGGGAAUCUUCCGCAAUGGGCGAAAGCCUGACGGAGCAACGCCGCGUGAGUGAUGAAGGUCUUCGGAUCGUAAAACUCUGUUAUUAGGGAAGAACAAAUGUGUAAGUAACUAUGCACGUCUUGACGGUACCUAAUCAGAAAGCCACGGCUAACUACGUG
RNAcentral lists this ribosomal RNA (497 nucleotides) under uncultured bacterium. Its description in RNAcentral is "partial 16S ribosomal RNA". It matches the Rfam family "Bacterial small subunit ribosomal RNA", at positions 28 to 507 of the family's 1533-position model. The record is from RNAcentral.